This 717-nucleotide ribosomal RNA is filed under the name Bacillus safensis. RNAcentral's name for it is "bacterial SSU rRNA". It matches the Rfam family "Bacterial small subunit ribosomal RNA", at positions 56 to 757 of the family's 1533-position model. Lineage: Bacteria; Bacillati; Bacillota; Bacilli; Caryophanales; Bacillaceae. The record is from RNAcentral.
UGCAGUCGAGCGGACAGAAGGGAGCUUGCUCCCGGAUGUAAGCGGCGGACGGGUGAGUAACACGUGGGUAACCUGCCUGUAAGACUGGGAUAACUCCGGGAAACCGGAGCUAAUACCGGAUAGUUCUUUGAACCGCAUGGUUCAAGGAUGAAAGACGGUUUCGGCUGUCACUUACAGAUGGACCCGCGGCGCAUUAGCUAGUUGGUGGGGUAAUGGCUCACCAAGGCGACGAUGCGUAGCCGACCUGAGAGGGUGAUCGGCCACACUGGGACUGAGACACGGCCCAGACUCCUACGGGAGGCAGCAGUAGGGAAUCUUCCGCAAUGGACGAAAGUCUGACGGAGCAACGCCGCGUGAGUGAUGAAGGUUUUCGGAUCGUAAAGCUCUGUUGUUAGGGAAGAACAAGUACGAGAGUAACUGCUCGUACCUUGACGGUACCUAACCAGAAAGCCACGGCUAACUACGUGCCAGCAGCCGCGGUAAUACGUAGGUGGCAAGCGUUGUCCGGAAUUAUUGGGCGUAAAGGGCUCGCAGGCGGUUUCUUAAGUCUGAUGUGAAAGCCCCCGGCUCAACCGGGGAGGGUCAUUGGAAACUGGGAAACUUGAGUGCAGAAGAGGAGAGUGGAAUUCCACGUGUAGCGGUGAAAUGCGUAGAGAUGUGGAGGAACACCAGUGGCGAAGGCGACUCUCUGGUCUGUAACUGACGCUGAGGAGCGAA